AGAUGCGAGGCGGCGGUCAGCAGGUGCCGAACCCACGGCCAGGCUUCCGUGGCAAGCAGCCCUAGAGGAAUGGCCGUCCUGUCCCUGCGAGCCCCUGGGCCCUGGCAGGCGAUCCAGGUGGGAUGCUAUGGAAUAUGAUGAGAAGCUGGCCCGGUUCCGGCAGGCCCACCUCAACCCCUUCAACAAGCAGUCUGGGCCGAGACAGCAUGAGCAGGGCCCUGGGGAGGAGGUCCCGGACGUCACUCCUGAAGAGGCCCUGCCUGAGCUGCCCCCUGGGGAGCCGGAAUUCCGCUGCCCUGAACGCGUGAUGGAUCUCGGCCUGUCUGAGGACCACUUCUCCCGCCCUGUGACACGGGGUCUCGCUUUGUUGCCCAGGCUGGUCUAAAGCUCCUGAGCUCAAGUGAUCCACCCACCUCGGCCUCCCAAAGUGCUAGCAUUAUAGGUGUGACCCACUGCACUCAGCUUGUUUUGUAUAUUACAACAUUUUGAGCACUUCCUUUGGGCCACAGGCUGAGCUGCAAGGGGGAGGGGAGGGUGCCACCU
This 543-nucleotide small RNA is filed under the name Pan troglodytes (chimpanzee). RNAcentral describes it as "processed transcript". Lineage: Eukaryota; Metazoa; Chordata; Mammalia; Primates; Hominidae. The record is from RNAcentral.